RNAcentral lists this long non-coding RNA (298 nucleotides) under Rattus norvegicus (Norway rat). RNAcentral's name for it is "long non-coding RNA NONRATT017399". The record is from RNAcentral. Lineage: Eukaryota; Metazoa; Chordata; Mammalia; Rodentia; Muridae.
ACGAUAUGUCCCCCCAAGACAGCCAGAACCACAGCCACGAACAAAGGCCACCGAAAGCGGCCGCUGCAACUUCUGCCAGCCCAUCCUUCGAUCAGUGACUGUCUGUCCAAGCUUGGCACCGGAGCCUCGGGGUGAAUCUUUCUUUACCUUGGAAAAGCCACAGGAACUAAUCAAAGAUGAUGCCUGGCCAGCCAUCUCCGAAGGAGCUUCCAACUCUAUGUUUACACGGCAUGUUCUUGUUCAGCAGGUGACCGGGGCAAGCCACUGCAAUGAUAGAUUGUAAAAUAAACGGUACCAC